Molecule: long non-coding RNA, 626 nt
Filed under: Musa acuminata (dwarf banana)
Lineage: Eukaryota; Viridiplantae; Streptophyta; Magnoliopsida; Zingiberales; Musaceae
Description: long non-coding RNA (MACU_LNC003654)
Source: RNAcentral
CGGGAGCCGCCGUCCGGGGUACUCUCUUGGUCCCUUUUAUUUCGCUCUCCUCCCGAUGCUCUCUCCCGAUCUCUUUCCUGACCCCAAACCUCUUCUCAUGAAAGGAACUGCUGGAGGAAGUCGAGCAACUACCUCCCUGAGGCCGCUAAGGACACACAGAGUAAGUGAAAUCAUUUCAUCAAUGCAAACUGUGAGGGGUGCAGAUUCGAUUCGUUUCAUGAUUUAGUUGCCUUCCUUCCACUUGAAUCAGGAAAGGAAGGCAACCAUUAGUUUUAGUUGCCUUCCUUCCAGUGGAAUCAUUUCAUCAGAUUUAGUUGUCUUACUCUUACGGAUUCGCAGUUGUUCAACCAUUAGUUUCUGGUAUUGAAUCAGGAAAGCUUGCGUCGUGACAUUGGUUUCUCUAAUCUUCUGGAUGUGCACUGCCGCUACUCACAAAGGAAACACUGUAUGUGACACAGGUUUUUAUUCAUUUAUUUUGCCCAGACACCAAGAUAAACAUUUCUUUGACUCUAGGAAGAAUGGUCGAUGCGUUCAAUGUAGUCUUUAUCAAGUUCUAAUUAUAUAUAAUCUCCUUCAAGUAUUAUUUCUAACUUCGUUGCUUUCGUGUUCUUAAGCGAUCUCUCUAU